RNAcentral lists this ribosomal RNA (663 nucleotides) under uncultured cyanobacterium. RNAcentral's name for it is "bacterial SSU rRNA". It matches the Rfam family "Bacterial small subunit ribosomal RNA", at positions 99 to 795 of the family's 1533-position model. Lineage: Bacteria; Bacillati; Cyanobacteriota. The record is from RNAcentral.
CGGACGGGUGAGUAACGCGUGAGAAUCGGCCCUCAGGUUGGGGACAACCAUUGGAAACGGUGGCUAAUACCGAAUAAGCCGAAAGGUGAAAGAUUAAUUGCCUGGGGAAGAGCUCGCGUCUGAUUAGCUAGUUGGUGGGGUAAAAGCCUACCAAGGCUCCGAUCAGUAACUGGUCCGAGAGGAUGGCCAGUCACACUGGGACUGAGACACGGCCCAGACUCCUACGGGAGGCAGCAGUGGGGAAUUUUCCGCAAUGGGCGAAAGCCUGACGGAGCAAUACCGCGUGGGGGAGGAAGGCUCUUGGGUCGUAAACCUCUUUUCUCAGGGAAGAACACAAUGACGGUACCUGAGGAGUCAGCAUCGGCUAACUCCGUGCCAGCAGCCGCGGUAAUACGGAGGAUGCAAGCGUUAUCCGGAAUGAUUGGGCGUAAAGCGUCCGCAGGUGGCAGUGUAAGUCUGCUGUCAAAGGUCAGGGCUUAACCCUGAACAGGCAGUGGAAACUACACAGCUAGAGUGCGGUGGGGGCAGAGGGAAUUCCCAGUGUAGCGGUGAAAUGCGUAGAGAUUGGGAAGAACACCGGUGGCGAAAGCGCUCUGCUAGGCCGCAACUGACACUCAUGGACGAAAGCUAGGGGAGCGAAUGGGAUUAGAUACCCCAGUAGUC